UACGUAGGGGGCAAGCGUUGUCCGGAAUCAUUGGGCGUAAAGCGCGCGUAGGCGGCCCGGUAAGUCCGUUGUGAAAGUCAAAGGCUCAACCUUUGAAUGCCGACGGAUACUGCCGGGCUAGAGUACGGAAGAGGCGAGUGGAAUUCCUGGUGUAGCGGUGAAAUGCGCAGAUAUCAGGAGGAACACCGGUGGCGAAGGCGGGUCUCUGGGCCGAUACUGACGCUGAGGAGCGAAAGCGUGGGGAGCGAACAGG
RNAcentral lists this ribosomal RNA (253 nucleotides) under uncultured bacterium. Its description in RNAcentral is "partial 16S ribosomal RNA". It matches the Rfam family "Bacterial small subunit ribosomal RNA", at positions 524 to 776 of the family's 1533-position model. The record is from RNAcentral.